Molecule: long non-coding RNA, 506 nt
Filed under: Homo sapiens (human)
Lineage: Eukaryota; Metazoa; Chordata; Mammalia; Primates; Hominidae
Description: HSALNT0161765
Source: RNAcentral
GAACAAGACUCCGUCUAAAAAUAAAAAAGGAAUGUUCAUAGCAUUAUCCAAACCGGGAAAAACCCAGACAUCCACCAGCAAAAACCUAAAGACAAAACUGUAAUAUAUAUUUGCAAUGGAAGGAUAUAGAACAAUGAAAAUAACCACCACAUGCACCAACACAGAGGAUACUUAGCGAAAGAAGCCAGACACAAAGAAGAACAUACCAGAUGAUCCAUUCAAAGCUUGAACCCAGGCAAAAUUAACGUGUGGCAACAGAAGUGAAGAUAAUUGUGACUUUUGUGGAGGAGGGAAUGUACGACUGGGUGAGGGCUGUUCUGUUGCUUGUGCUAGCUGAUGAGUGUGUUUACUUUGUAACAAUUUACUGAGCUUUAAUGUGGCAAACUGUGCUCCUAGCUAUUUAGCCAACUGAUUUGAAACUUUUGUCCAUACAAAAAUAUGUAUAGCAGCUUUAUUCAUAACUACCCCAAAGUGAAGUCACUAAGAUAUCUUUAAGCAGAUGAAUG